Molecule: ribosomal RNA, 545 nt
Filed under: uncultured bacterium
Lineage: Bacteria
Description: partial 16S ribosomal RNA
Rfam family: Bacterial small subunit ribosomal RNA
Source: RNAcentral
UGGGGAAUUUUGGACAAUGGGCGAAAGCCUGAUCCAGCAAUGCCGCGUGUGUGAAGAAGGCCUUCGGGUUGUAAAGCACUUUUGUCCGGAAAGAAAUCCUUGGCUCUAAUACAGUCGGGGGAUGACGGUACCGGAAGAAUAAGCACCGGCUAACUACGUGCCAGCAGCCGCGGUAAUACGUAGGGUGCAAGCGUUAAUCGGAAUUACUGGGCGUAAAGCGUGCGCAGGCGGUUUGCUAAGACCGAUGUGAAAUCCCCGGGCUCAACCUGGGAACUGCAUUGGUGACUGGCAGGCUAGAGUAUGGCAGAGGGGGGUAGAAUUCCACGUGUAGCAGUGAAAUGCGUAGAGAUGUGGAGGAAUACCGAUGGCGAAGGCAGCCCCCUGGGCCAAUACUGACGCUCAUGCACGAAAGCGUGGGGAGCAAACAGGAUUAGAUACCCUGGUAGUCCACGCCCUAAACGAUGUCAACUAGUUGUUGGGGAUUCAUUCCUUAGUAACGUAGCUAACGCGUGAAGUUGACCGCCUGGGGAGUACGUCGCAAGAUU